This is a long non-coding RNA of Pipistrellus kuhlii (Kuhl's pipistrelle), 1696 nucleotides long. RefSeq lists it as uncharacterized. NCBI's taxonomy places the organism in Eukaryota, Metazoa, Chordata, Mammalia, Chiroptera, Vespertilionidae. The record is from RefSeq and is a predicted model, not a curated record. The transcript has 2 exons.
AAAUGUUCUCUCUCCUCUCAUUUUUGAACCAUUAUGCUUUAGUUCUUAGAUAUUAGAAAUUUAGAAGGUUUUCAGUUUAAUAGUGUUAUGAAAGGAAUGCUGGGAGACGAUAAGGCGGCACAGCAUUUUUUCUCAAAGUAACAAGAGUAAUGCAUAAGUACACGUAGUCAUCAUUCUUCCAGACACAUGGUAGUGGCUGUCUUGCAAAGCACUGUUAGAGGUAUGGGAGACAGAUGAGACCCUGGGACUGUACUGUGGAAAUUGUUGCUAAGUCAGGGAGUUGAGACAUGAUCUCAAAUUAAGAUAUAGAAAGUAAAAUAGUAAACACUGGAAGAAAAAAUGAGAUAAAAUGUGCAGAGGUUAGAGAAAUGAGAAGUCACUUGCUAGGUGCCAAUUAGCAGAUAAGCAUGAUAUUAACUAAUAAGGCUGGAAAGAGUUUUCAUUUGUAAAUUACAGCUGCUGGGGAGCGCCACAAGGUAUAAAUCCAUCACUACGUAGGCCAGCUAGUAAAGAUUUGUUGACUUAGUUGUCUGCCACUAAGAAAUGGCAUAUCCUUUCAUAUCAAAAUGUGUGGUUUUUUUUUUAAUAAUAGAGUCUUUUGAAUAUGAGCAACCUUAUUGAUAAUGCUUUAUAUCAGAAUAGCCAAUAUUGAAACAUAAUUAAAGUUUUUUCAGUGGCCUUUUUUGUUUACUGCAUUUAACUUGCCAUUAAGUUUAUAGUUUUUUUUACUACAAAUUAUUUUUCUCUUUACAUAGCAGGAUAUCCAUUAUCUCAAGCAGUACAGGUAGAAUUUCCUUCUAACAAUUGUUAAUUGUGUGGAUUUUUGCAAGUUUAUGUAAAAUAGCUUGUAUCAUAGCAAAGCAUCAGAAAACUGGAAUAUUUAAGGAUUUUUUUUUUUUUUUCUGGGUUGUGGACAGGGAGGAGGGAAAGGCAGGGCUGCUCUUAGGAGCCAAGGAUUUUUUUUAGUAUAUUUUUAAUUGGAGAUGUUUUAAAGCAUUAAAUCGUUAUUACCAAACUUUUUCCUUUUCCAUUAAAAUUAUUUUCCAGCUCCACUUAAAGAAAAUUAUGUUUUGUUUUUUUUUUUACUUGUAAAAUAUUAAAUUACAGGUGUUUUUAGGAGAGUAUAUUUUUCAUUGGCUUCUGGUAUUCUAUUACAAAAUUGCCCAAUAAUGAAGGUGCUUUAGGUCAUGUAUUUUAUGGUUAAAACCUCAGUUUAAAAAACUUGAAGUCAUUAAAAUUCUUCAAAAAUAUAAUUAAUAAAAGUUGCUACAGAGAGUGUUACAUAAACAUAAAACAAAUUUCAGUACGUGCAAUAGGAUAACAUUUACAAACAAGCCUUUCUAUGUCCUUUAGUCUCCAUGUCUCCCCAGAUCCUACUGUUUUCGGCUUGUGCCUCUUUCUGGAGAUUACCUGAACAUGCACAAUCAUACAUGUCCUAUGUAGUUUUUGCUAUUUAAAGAAGUUAUGGCAUUCUAUAAACACGAUUUCACAGUUCUUUCAGGGAAUACUGUAUAUUUUAGAAAUCUUUACAUAAUUAGUACAAAAACAUGUGCACCUUAACUUCUGAUGAGCAUAUAUGUUUAAAGUAUUACAUAUGUCUCCUUUCCCCCCUGAAUAUUAUGUUUUGACCAAGUCUUUUCUGUUUCAAGGAAGACUGUGAUGUAUUAUACAAACAUUGCCUGUGUUUUAUUCUCUU